This 3959-nucleotide long non-coding RNA is filed under the name Ananas comosus (pineapple). RNAcentral's name for it is "long non-coding RNA (ACOM_LNC012103)". The record is from RNAcentral. Lineage: Eukaryota; Viridiplantae; Streptophyta; Magnoliopsida; Poales; Bromeliaceae.
GGCGGCACCCACUGAGGACUACCUGUUUUUACAGUAGUUCUCACGCCCUGUUGUUACCCCCUGUUUUUGCAGAGCCAUCGUCGUCGGCUGCUGCUGUCGCAGAUCAGGAUCGAGGCAAGGGCGUCGCGAGUUAGAGCCCUACCAGACAUGCAGAGCUAGAGGUGCCCCUAGUGCAGGUAGAUGUUUUGUUUUGAGUUCAUGUACAUAGUAUACUUAACUCGCCAGUGCGAGUAGCUCUGUAUUUUUGGUUAUUGGACUAUGUAUAUGGAACUUCGUUUGUUUAACUUCUGUUUACUCUAGUAGCUCUAUACUACUGUUUGUAGUAUUGUACGGUUUAUAGGUACAGCUGUCGCUUCGUAUACAGGAGAAAUUCCUUUCUAUACGGCGAAUUUGUCGGCGUGCCCGGGGAACGUGUAAUCCGGGGCAUGACAGGCCGCGCAUGACCUUGCUAGUACUGUACAGCUAUGGGUCCAUAUUCAAACAUAACAAGAUUACUAUCAGUAGUAAUUCGUUGAUUCUAUUCUUCUCCGCUAUCUGGCUGUGCGCCCGCGGCUCUCGCGUUCAGAACCAAACUACUAAGGUUUGCUAAUCUACCCUACUUCAAGCCUAGCCACGCGGCGACUCGCCUGAGUCCAAUCAAUGCUGCGGAUCAGCCACUUCGCCAACUGUCCGGCCUCAAGGGGAAGACUCCGGUCUACUCUACAGCUCAUCCGCCUCAGUCACCCCCCCCUGCCUUCAUCCACAAACAUCUGCAACGGGUCGCCCCAGAGCUGCGUAAAUACACCGGUCAGGGAUCUUUUCCGGUGGAGGGAUUUCAUGCCACAUACCUCAACGGAGCCCCAGCUGAAAACCGGAUCAGGGAAGGUGAACAUACCACACUCAACCCUAGCGAAGCACGAUUCUGCCGGCGGGAAGGGGAACCUGCCGCACUCGACCCGCGGCCUCGAAUCAGCCUUAAGCUCAUCCUCGAAGUUCAUCCAGUGGGAGGGGAACAUUGCCAACUACCCCCACGGCUUUAGAACUAUCGAGUUUACAAUCCUAAGAUUUCGGAAUCGACUUUCCAAGUCUCUAGGGUAAUCUCAAACCCUAUGAUAUCGACCUAUCUAGGUCCAAUGCACUUUCUAUCCUAGGUCUACCCGACUCUAGGUUUAACACCCUUAUCACAUAACCAAUAUUCUUUAAACUAGGUUAAUACCUCUCUACCUAGAUUUUUAUUAACUCUAGGUUCAACAACACUAGGAUCAAUGUCAACCUAUGUUCAUGACACUAGGUUAAUGCCACUCGAUCUAGCCUAGGUUCACGACACUAGGUUCAACAUCAAUCUUAUUCAUCCUAGGUUCUCAAUCCUAGGUUCAUAUUCGACCUAUGUUAUUACACUAGGUUCGGUGCCACUCGAUCUAGUUGUCCCUAAUUGUCCACAGCGAGUUUCUAUAAUUACAUAACCUCAUGCACAUGCUCACAUUGCUAAUAUGCAUUUUGUCUAUCAACAUGCAAUCAAGUAUCUUACUUAGCAUCUCUACAUUAUGUCAUCAUCUAGUAUAUAGUUCCGAUGCAUUAAUAUGCAAUCACUACUAGCAUGCAUUACAUAAUGCUAACAUGUAUAUACAUUUAACAAUUUCUCAUUAUGUCAUGUUAGAUCUACAACAUGUUAUCAUUUACUUGCUCUAUUAUGAAUCGACAUGAAACUAGCACUUGCAUAUAAUUCCAAUGCAUCAACAUGCCAUUAGCAACUAGCAUAAUUAACUAUCAUCUAGUACAUGCAUCUUAACCAACAUGCUCACAUAAUGUUACAUGCACCUAGCAUAUAUUCCAUGAUGCCCUUAGCACACUUCUAACCAUGCAUAUGUAUAUCAACAUGCACAUUCUAUUUAUAUGCUUUAACUCAUAUACAAUACCAUUAUACUUGUACAUAUGCAUCAACAUGAAUUUCAUGUUUACUUUGACAUGAAGGCGACUUAGUCGCUUCGGUAAGCACAAUCCACCUCAAAAUGCUUUCCGAUUGCUUGUCGACACUUGCAAUCGGCCGCCCGCGGCACCCGGCAUCCAGUUUGGCCCGAUCUCUCGCGCGACCACCCAAACGGUCUCCAAUCCGUUUUCAUGAGUUUACGAUGUCGCCUCGGCCCUCCAGGCGGAAAUGAAGCCUAAACGUCCGUUUCUUUAAUAACUUCGCACCGGCUCGACGAAUCGCCGAACCGACUUCCCCGGCGCGUUCGUUUACCUAGCAAUUAGGUUUAUAUAGGUUCAAUUUAGAUCAAACCAUCAUAUUUCCAAAAAUUGUAUUUUGAACCCUAGGUUUACUACUAGGUAAAAACCCACAUUAGAGCCUUGGUUUCAAGCAUCAAACCUCUAAUUAGCAUGCUAGAAUACCUCUAAACCCAUUCUUAGAGCUUAAAAACCAAACUAGAGAGAAGUGCCAUUAAAGGGUUUUGAAGCUUACCUUCAAAGCUUGCUCUCCAAUGGCUAAAGAGGAAGAUGAAGAAGAUGACUUUCCUCCAAGCUUCCUUCUCCACCAAAACCCUCUCUUUUGGGAGAGAAUUUAGAGAGAGAUAAGGGAGGGUUCUCUUUCUCCUCUCCUUGUGUGUGUGCGUGUGUGGCGUGCGGGUGUGUGGGGGCUGCACGGCUGAGGGUGGAAGAAGAGCAAUGCUCUUUUACAAUAUAGCCCCUCAACAAUUACACUAUUCACUCCAGGCAGUUUAGCAGUUCGGAACAGUUGGAGCCCUUCUGAAUGCCCGUUUGAGCUCAAAUUUGACAGACAGGCUCGAUUUAACGUACUGAGUAAGAAUAUAUCUUAAGUUUUCAGUUUUGAUCCCGUUUGGUCACUGAAAAUUGUACCGAACUGUAAUCUUUAUCAGAUAACUAUCGGAUUUUAUUUCUCACUCUACGGGUGUCAGAAAAAUAUGAAACCUUAAAUCUAGCCUCAUAAAAAUAUUUCUGACUUAUCCUCCAAUUUUCAUAAUUUUUUGAGACUGUGCAUUUUCUGCUAAUUUAUCGGUUCCGUUUCCAACAGAAAAUUCUAAAUCUUCUNUGUUUCGGGCAGAGGCCUCACCGUGAGCACCCGCGAUGGGUUGGCUCAUACGUCGCAUAGAGACAGUUCGAGUUUGUCUGAGACUUUUCGGUUUCAGUUCAUUAGCUGAGAUUGACCAGAUUGUUGGUUAUCAAGUGCACGGGAGCCGUGUUAGACAGCGGUUUUUCUGCUAGGCCCAGGUGGCAGUUGGGACUGCCGUGGGUUGUCAGGCCUUGUUGGACUUGCUGGGACAUUUUUUAGGUGAGCCGUGUGGUCGUGCUCGCAUUUAUAUAAGAUUUGAUAGACUUUAUAGGUGGUGUGGCUAUGACGCUGCUAUGUUAGCUUGGUGCCGAGGAUCUCGAUUUAGUCCGUCAAAUUUGUUCACUGUCCAGGUUUAGCGUCCAAAAUAGGAUUUAGUUUAAGGUUCAGGUUGUACGUAUUUGAUGAGUUAAAUAAUGGUGUACGAGGUGGUGUAUUCACAGUCCCCGGGACGGGUAUGUUUACAGUCCCGAUUGGAUUGGGUCAGUUUUGACAUUUCCUACAGUUGGUUAGCAUAGAGCAGGAUGGUGUAGUGACUAGUAGCUGUAGAGUUCAUUCCAGCAUUUUACUUUUACCAUUGCUCCCUUCUGUAGACUUAGUGGGUGGACCGAUAUUGUUUUGGGCGGCACCCACUGAGGACUACCUGUUUUUACAGUAGUUCUCACACCCUGUUGUUACCCCCUGUUUUUGCAGAGUCAUCGUCGUCGGCUGCUGCUGUCGCAGAUCAGGAUCGAGGCAAGGGCGUCGCGAGUUAGAGCCCUACCAGACGUGCAGAGUUAGAGGUGCCCCUACUGCAGGUAGAUGUUUUGUUUUGAGUUCAUGUACAUAGUAUACUUAACUCGCCAGUGCGAGUAGCUCUGUAUUUUUGGUUAUUGGACUAUAUAUAUGGAACUCCGUUUGUUUAGCUUCUGUUUAC